UACAGAGGUCCCAAGCGUUGUUCGGAUUCACUGGGCGUAAAGGGUGCGUAGGUGGCAGUGUAAGUCUGAUGUGAAAGCUUCGAGCUUAACUCGAAAAUGGCAUUGGAUACUAUAUUGCUGGAGGUUUGGAGGGGGACUGGAAUUCUCGGUGUAGCAGUGAAAUGCGUAGAUAUCGAGAGGAACACCGGUGGCGAAGGCGAGUCCCUGGACAACACCUGACACUGAGGCACGAAAGCUAGGGGAGCAAACAGG
This 252-nucleotide ribosomal RNA is filed under the name uncultured bacterium. RNAcentral describes it as "partial 16S ribosomal RNA". It matches the Rfam family "Bacterial small subunit ribosomal RNA", at positions 524 to 776 of the family's 1533-position model. The record is from RNAcentral.